RNAcentral lists this ribosomal RNA (328 nucleotides) under uncultured eukaryote. Its description in RNAcentral is "partial 18S ribosomal RNA". It matches the Rfam family "Eukaryotic small subunit ribosomal RNA", at positions 1470 to 1796 of the family's 1831-position model. The record is from RNAcentral.
CCCUUAGAUGUCCUGGGCCGCACGCGCGUUACACUGAUGCAUUCAACGAGCUUAUAACCUUGGACGAGAGGCCUGGGCAAUCUUGUUAACGUGCAUCGUGAUAGGGAUAGAUUAUUGAAAUUAUUAAUCUUGAACGAGGAAUUCCUAGUAAACGCAGAUCAUCAAUCUGCAUUGAUUACGUCCCUGCCCUUUGUACACACCGCCCGUCGCACCUACCGAUUGGAUGGUCCGGUGAAGCCUCGGGAUUGUGGUUCUUGCCGCUUUAUUGUGGCGUGACCGCGAGAACUUGUCUAAACCUUAUCAUCUAGAGGAAGGUGAAGUCGUAACA